Molecule: long non-coding RNA, 2778 nt
Filed under: Canis lupus familiaris (dog)
Lineage: Eukaryota; Metazoa; Chordata; Mammalia; Carnivora; Canidae
Description: lncRNA (ENSCAFG00845010221.1)
Source: RNAcentral
UUUGCUACAAAAUCUUUCAUAAGCCUUAUGUUCUUUCUUUUUUCUGUUUACUCCAUCUUUGGACCAGGAGGAGUCAACCCAGAUAUGGCGUUCAUCCACAAGCAGGGCAGGAAGACCAAGUACCCUCAGCCUCCCGCUGGUUGCCAUUAAAGUGCUUCUCUGAUACGGGGAGCCAGUGAGCAGACCUGAGCAGACCGAUGCUAGUUUACAGCAGAGCUCCGUUCAGCUCAGGGGGGAGAAGGCCAAGUCAGAGCCAAGCCCCACGAGAGAAACAGGCUCCUCUGGUGGGAUUUUCCCUGCUGCCCUGCCUGUGGAGGACAAGGAAUCUCUCCCUUGCACCUUGCCCCUAGGGACGAGAGCAUGUCUGUGCCAUCCCGUGGCCCUGGUGCCCAGAUACUUUUCCGGUGGUGGCAACAAUGCUGCCUUCUGGUGCUUCUCCUUCACACUCACAAAAGGUGUGUUAAGCAGAGCAACUCCCUACUCCGCCCAGUCUGCCCUUGCCUUUCCCAAAGCAGGAAGGUAGGAGAUGGCUGGCUCUCUCCAAGUUACUGUUCCGCCUCCUGAGAGAGCAUCACAGGGGUCUCAGGAAAGGAGACCAGGCCCAUUUAUGCCUCGGUCUGGCCAUUCGGAUGUUGCAUCUAGCAGGUGUUCCUUCCUUCAUAGGCCACGGGUAGAACAGCAGUGGAGAGGGUGGCCUCAGAGAUCAUACAAAAUGGGUCUGACAUUCUCUGCUACUUGGUAGUUAUAUACACUUGGGCUAGUUACUUUACCCACCCUCCACCCCUCCGGGUCUUUACCAGCAAUGGGAGGAUAACCAAGUACCCAAUCCAGGGUUUGUAGUUGUCGUUUUGAAGGAUUAAUGAAAUAAUGCAUGGAAGGCGCUUAGCUGAACAACAGUAAAACACGUCAUCAUUAUCAGGUAUCAUUUUAAUAAUGAUGACAUUAUUUCUUUCUUGUUUUUGCCUGUUUUUACAUCAUUUAGGCUAUCUCAUUAGAGAAAGGGGAAGUUCUAAGUCAGAUGCCAAAGUGCUAAAGUUUCCAUUCUAGAGCUCCCAGCAGCUGGGCAGUUGCUUUCACGUGUGCGUCUACACAUUCACAACUAUUCCAUCUCCUCUACUGCAUCACACUCUCAAGGAAAAAGCCCUGGGCUCCUAAUUGUCCGUGAUUCUUGAGCCCCCGUCAUGCAUGUGGAAGGCCAACGACUGAGGGCACAACUCAUGAGAUAAAGGCACAUGAGGUAAAACGGGGCCAACAUGCUCCUGGAUGGAAAUGAACUCAUCAUCGCCCAACACGUUCAAAAACACACACGAACACAAUACUCCACCGGCAGAGAAAAAUAUUAAUAAUAAAUUCUUUUAAGAGAUUUGUUUUAAAGGAUUACAGAGCAAAAAGCAAAGGCUCAAAACAAAAUACAGUGGAAUCCUAUUUCAAUAACACUCUUUAACGUAAAAUCAGGUUUAAUGUAAGUCAGAUGAUGUGUCCUCGAGCACCACAUUUAGAGAAUGGAGAUGUGGUUAUGUCAUUAUCGUUAUAAGCUCUGCCCUCAUUCAUGGAAGUGUUUUUCAGGUUUCAGAGGACAUUUAGAUAUCAACAUGCAGCCCUAAAACGACCAAUCUACACGAACCAUUCAUUUGCUGAUGCUCUAAAUCAUAUUCUUUAUGGUACGUUCUCUAAAGCUUGUAGGUACGGAGUAAACCAGCAGAGUCUUCCAACAAUAAAUAACUGCAUCAAAAAAUUUUGCCACGUUUUUGACAAAAUGGUCAUCUGGUGAAGAGUCGACUGAGAACAUCUGUAAGGAAAUGUUUCCAAUGAUUACAAAGAGUAAAACUGCAUUUGACCAGCGAUCUUAGAAUAAGUGUUUGAAAAAUAAGGCUUCCGCAGAGUAGCCUGGCAUGGUCCAGAGAAGCAAAUAACCACCUGCGGAGACGGAAUAUUCCUGUGCCAAGGGCACGGGCAGGAACUCCGCAGGUACUGUCCACCCCGCUUCACACUUGCUGGAUCACAUUCCUGUUUCUGAAAAUUUCCCAACAGAUUUUCUCUCCCUCCCCCGACUUUUGUAUUAUUCACAUUGUCAUGACUGCACAGAAGCAUUUUCUUAGUAGGCUUUAAUCAUCUAGGGCUUUUGACUCAUAAACAAACAAAAAAACAAAAAACUGGCAUUAAACAUCUUGCCUAAAAUGAACACAGACAAUUACCCAAACAAACCGACCCAUCUCAAGAGGAUCGAAGGUAGCCUCCCUGAAAUGUUUCAGUAUUGUGGGAAAAUAAUGCGGUUCGCCAACAGGAUAGCUCCGGAAGUGCCUAUUUAUUUGCAACAAGGGAAAAGAAAUGUGGAAGCAGCAGUGGGUGGCUGUGGGAACGCUGUCAACAAAGCAUCCCCAGCCGCAAAACUUUACAGCGAAAAACAAAGAAAUAAAGGCCGUGUCUGGUCUGCUGGGGCUAAUAUAACAGAGAAUGUCUGUGGGCCGAGGUUGUGAUUAAAAAUUUUAAACACAGUCCUUUUCAUAACUUAAGGAAACAUAAGUUGGCCUGGUUAAAGAGUUCCCCAGGCCAGCGAGGGGCUGGUGGCGAUGGCUUUACUCUUACUGUCACGCCCCCUCCGACGGAACUAGCCGUGGACACUGAGGAAUAACUCACCAAAAGCAAGAACCUGCUGAGCAUCUGGAAAACUGAAACAGAAGGCGCUUCACAUCCUCACCUUCCACCAGCUGAAGAUGACUCAUUCCGUACGAACAACGAGCAAGGGAAAGGAAUGUCAAGGGUUUGAAAGCAGUCGUC